This 254-nucleotide long non-coding RNA is filed under the name Phaseolus vulgaris (common bean). RNAcentral describes it as "long non-coding RNA (PVUL_LNC002041)". Lineage: Eukaryota; Viridiplantae; Streptophyta; Magnoliopsida; Fabales; Fabaceae. The record is from RNAcentral.
AACGACUUCGAUCCGUGUAUAGAAGCCUCGACGCUACCCGCGGAUCCACCGCCGCGUCCGACGGAGACGGCGCCGUCGGUUUCUUCACCACCGCUGACGGCCGCGGUUCCCCUUGGGCGAGGGCAUCGCGCGAAGCUGCCUUCCGUACGGUUACGCGAUUUUGUCGCAGCCACCACGAUACCGUCAAGCCCCUCUGUUCCGUCACCUCCUUCAACAGAAUCCUCAGGUGUUUCGUAUCCUAUACAUGAUUUUGU